Molecule: long non-coding RNA, 3018 nt
Organism: Uranotaenia lowii
Lineage: Eukaryota; Metazoa; Arthropoda; Insecta; Diptera; Culicidae
Exons: 5
Source: RefSeq, a predicted model, not a curated record
UUUGCCGUGCGAUGCAAAUCGUCGCAAAAAAAUUGUUCAUCGAGUUGGUUAUACGACGUUUCUCGAGAAGUGAAAAAGUUUACAUGAAAACAAAACGAACCCGGAUCGGAACGAAUAUUGAAACCGGACAGAUUACUGUCAAACUAUUAGUUGUCAGUUUGAAUCUAUCCGGUUUCCCUUCGAAUUCUGUUGGAUUUCCUGACGAUUUCUCCCCUGCCAUAACAAUGCGACAGCACGUAGCGUUUUUGUUUCCGGUCAAAUUAUUUAAUUCGACACCUGUUAGCAAAUUAAGCAGCUGGCCUUUAAGGCUCACCACAGUCUGCUAGAAACGCGUUCAAUUUGCUGAAACAAGGUGAUGGACGAACAGCUGGGGGAGCUUCGGUCACAAUUUCAUGGUACCAUUCUUUAAUUCACUGUUCUGAUAGUAGCGGAAUCUGAAUCUGAGACAGGAGUAAAACCCCGGCAGUGAAACAUCAACCCUCAGGAAAUUGCCGGUUUACAAGCAGUUCUUCUAGUGAUUCAAGCUGCAGCUAACCAGGACGAAGUUGCACUUUGCGAACAUCCCAAUUGGGCACCUCUGCAUUGUAUCCCCCUUAUGCAGAACACUCGCAGCGCUAGGAAAAAGCAAAGAGACUUCAGCUUUGGACAACCUUGAAGCUUCUCAAAUAAUGACCACCAUCCCAACGACCAGCAGUUGCGGUAAUCGUGGAAUAGAAUCCGAACUGGAGGAAAUCGAAUCGAGAAACGAAACCUUCCCACUGACUCUGGGAAUGCUGGAUCUCCUCUACACGCUGUGCGAAACAGGAAUAACGAAAACUCUAGGGGCAGGUCCCCGUAAACCCGGCCUCGAUAGCUACAUAACUUUCAUCAUCGAUGCAGUCUUCCUAUGCUUUUACAAUCGUAACUAUAAAGAUGUCAAAUGCGAAAAGUGUGAAAAAAAUGUUUUACCAAACUCAUGGUAUGCAGAUACAUAUGGAAUCGGUUCAUUUGAACAUGAAACACCCGUGUGAUAUCUGCGGCAAGGUGCUAACGGCCAAGAAACUGUUAGUCAAUGCGGCUGCACGAUGAAUCAGCUCUUAGGAGGUGUCCCUAUUGCCCCAAGGAAUCGAAUUGAAACAUCAAAUCAUUUUUUCCGAGAUACAUCAGUUAUCACUACGCGCUGAAAAAGGGUAACAAACUGUGGAAUCAGAAACCUUACAUAAUGUUCUAAGCAACUAUCGAUGUGUUAUUUAACUUUUGACUGGAUCUUUAGAAAAAAAACUCAAGAGUUAUUUUAAAAAAGAAAAAUCAAAUUUUAAGUUGCUACACUUCCGGAAACACUCAUAACACAGGAUAUUCACAGGAGGGCAUUUGGAUUACCGUCUUGGAUUUGAUUUGCACAACACCAUUACCUGAAGGCUUAAUUACAGUUCGGAUGAAAUCUCAUGUGAAUUCGGAGUGCAGCAGGACUGGAAGAAUUUUUACCGCAUAUGAUGCAAACCGUUGAGCCGGAGAAUUCAUCUAAUGAUUUGGACAAACUGGUCGAUCCACCUUGCUGCUGGAUUCGCCUGUGAUUCAACAGGUGAUAUCGGAGAUCGUACUUUAUUUGAAAUCACUGUACCAAAUACAGAUAUCACAAAAAGGGAACUCUUAUGGGCCUUUCCCGGCCGACAGGUGCUCAACCGAGGGACAAAACCUAAAUCUAGCAAAAGCAGGAAGUUUCGUCCCGUCAAGUUGGUGGUCAGAUAAACGAAUCGGAAGAAGCAACCACAAUCAUUUCCCGCAUCCGGUCCGAUUUACCUUGCCUGAUUUAUCGACGCGACAUAGAAGUUUUUCUGUUGACGAUCACCGUAACUGCGAGCUGAACAACGUGAAAAUCCUUUCGCAGCAGGAAUCCGACCUCGGGGUAAUAAGUGCCAACGCCUUCGACGGGAUGAACCACGUCGAUACGCUCAGCAUACUGAACAAGAUUGAUGCAAUCCAGGAGCUCAACAUCACCCACUCGCACCACAUUAGGACGCUCAAGCUGGUGGGUGCUAGAAGCAACAGAAGCAGGCAGUAUAAGCCUGGAGGGCAUCGGGAUGUUGCAUGUGAAAGAUAAUUACUUCACCUGCGGCUGUCACAUCCACACCCUGCUUGAUAUCUCCCUGGCCAUCGUCGUUGGAGGUAAACGGUUCUUGGGUCGCCGCAGAUCUAACCAAAAUCAGCGUCAGCGACAAACCACCAGCAGCAGCAUAUUCCGGCUGUUUGUGAUUCUGGGUCAGCCGUAAGUUUUUUUGUAGCAUCCGGCCAUUAAUGUUAUGUACAUGUACAUGGUGUCGUUUUGUUUAAACCAGUUUGCCUGGGUCAAGCUCGUAACGUUCGCUUCAAGAUGUUCCCCACCCUGCCGGUUCAGGCCGACGGGAAACCCUGGAUGCAGACACCUUGUGAAAGUAUCGGUCACUCAGGGCAGGCCACCAUACUUAGAAAAGUUACGGGUUGAUGACGCGUACGCUCGCAUUUGUUUUCGCAGAACUUUCGACAAAAAGACGCCCAACAAUGGCAACGAUCCUUAUUCGAUCGAUUUGUCCGAUACUGAUAACAAUGUUAAAUUCGUGGCGUCCCCGGAUACAUCGCUUACACCGGUUAAGCGUUCUCCAGUAGCAGGGACGCAACUAUGCGGAACCGUCCCACGUCCGAUUGUGACAGCGGGGGCUCCCGGAGGAGCAGGUGUAAGAACUACACCGAACAAUGCGAUGAGUAAACCUGCCGGUGCUGUUCAACGAUCUGUAUCGUCCCUUAGCACUGUGCCCGACAGCAGUCCAAAAUCAUAAACAAAAUUCCAGCGCAUUAUAAAUUUUUUUUUUCUAAAUAUUGUAUAUAUUGCCAAAAACAAAAUUAUUAAAAUUAUCCAUAGAAAUAAUGUUGUUUUAUUUCCAAAAAUUUGGAAUCGGAACAAAAAUUGACAUCAGGGCAGAAAAACAACAAAAACAACAGGGCAAAGCGUUCGGAUUUUUUGUCCGAUUUCGAUCGGAAAACCGUCAAAUUUUGAUGGGAAAA